AGCAGCCGCGGUAAUUCCAGCUCCAAUAGCGUAUAUUAAAGUUGUUGCAGUUAAAAAGCUCGUAGUUGAAUUUCGGGGUUAGUAGGUUGGUCGUGCCUUUGGUAUGUACUGGUCUCACUGAUUCCUCCUUCUUGAAGAACUGUAAUGUCAUUAAUUUGGUGUUGCAGGGAAACAGGACUGUUACUUUGAAAAAAUUAGAGUGUUUAAAGCAGGCUAAUGCCUGAAUACAUUAGCAUGGAAUAAUGAAAUAGGACGUUUGAUCCUAUUUUGUUGGUUUCUAGGAUUGACGUAAUGAUUAAUAGGGAUAGUUGGGGGCAUUAGUAUUCAAUUGUCAGAGGUGAAAUUCUUGGAUUUAUUGAAGACUAACUACUGCGAAAGCAUUUGCCAAGGAUGUUUUCAUUAAUCAAGAACGAAAGUUAGGGGAUCGAAGACGAUCAGAUACCGUCGUAGUCUUAACCAUAAACCUAUGCCGACUAGGGAUCGGAUGAUGUUAAUUUUUAAUGACUCAUUCGGCGCCUUA
RNAcentral lists this ribosomal RNA (520 nucleotides) under uncultured Glomus. Its description in RNAcentral is "SSU rRNA". It matches the Rfam family "Eukaryotic small subunit ribosomal RNA", at positions 569 to 1090 of the family's 1831-position model. Lineage: Eukaryota; Fungi; Glomeromycota; Glomeromycetes; Glomerales; Glomeraceae. The record is from RNAcentral.